GAUGAAGAGCGGGUGGCAAGUCCUUCCGCGUCUUAGGUCCUAGCAGGCAAUCGUCCACUCCUGACGGAAUAUUCGGGAGUUCCCUACACUUGUGGACGCCACUCACCACCUGCAUCCCUUUAGCACCACGUUAAGACACACCUGUGCUCUGGGCGUGUUAGGGUGUGAGGUUUGUAAGGAACAGAGGGACAGCAUGGAGGUGUUUGGAAUCAUCAGCAUCCACUCAAAGCAAAAUUAUGACACUGGUCUACUGAAUGCCACAGCAGGAAUCAUAUAUGCAGAGAAGUAUAAGAGAGACAAACUACAAAGAAGAUAAUGAAGAUAAUGAUACAACAAAGGAUAAGAAAGCUCUGAAUGCAAGAAACUCAAGUAUAAGAGAGACAAGCUACAAAGAAGAGAAUGAUACAACAAAGGAUAA
Long non-coding RNA from Scylla paramamosain (green mud crab), 418 nucleotides. RefSeq lists it as uncharacterized. The transcript is spliced from 3 exons. Lineage: Eukaryota; Metazoa; Arthropoda; Malacostraca; Decapoda; Portunidae. The record is from RefSeq and is a predicted model, not a curated record.